GCUCCGGUAGCCUAGUGGUUAAAGCGUCCGCCUCGGAUGUGGGAGGUCGCGGUUUCGGACCCCGGCUGAUUCA
Potamilus streckersoni is the source of this 73-nucleotide non-coding RNA. The record is from the annotation of a GenBank genome assembly. Lineage: Eukaryota; Metazoa; Mollusca; Bivalvia; Unionida; Unionidae.